This 262-nucleotide ribosomal RNA is filed under the name uncultured bacterium. Its description in RNAcentral is "partial 16S ribosomal RNA". It matches the Rfam family "Bacterial small subunit ribosomal RNA", at positions 95 to 354 of the family's 1533-position model. The record is from RNAcentral.
AGUGCGGACGGGUGAGGUAACGCGGUGGGCAACCCUGGCCUGUACAGGGGGAUAACACUUAGAAAUAGGUGCUAAUACCGCUAUAACGGGAGAAGCCGCAUGGCUUUUUCCUGAAAACUCCGGUGGUACAGGAUGGGCCCGCGUCUGAUUAGCCAGUUGGCAGGGUAACGGCCUACCAAAGCGACGAUCAGUAGCCGGCCUGAGAGGGCGGACGGCCACACUGGGACUGAGACACGGCCCAGACUCCUACGGAAGGCAGCAG